RNAcentral lists this ribosomal RNA (432 nucleotides) under Triticum aestivum (bread wheat). RNAcentral's name for it is "partial small subunit ribosomal RNA". The record is from RNAcentral. Lineage: Eukaryota; Viridiplantae; Streptophyta; Magnoliopsida; Poales; Poaceae.
AUGUGUGCCGAGUACCCUGAAAAAGGGAUAAAGACUAGGCAAAGACCUUCCGUUUUGAUUGAUCAGCAUAGCCCUCCGAUGAAUCACAUGUCGUGGUCAUUGGUUCGCUUAGAUCGGACAGCUUGGGUUGAGACACCUUUACUCUAUCGCCACUACUCUCGCUGGACUCCACCGCCCCCAUCUCCUCCUCAUCCUCCUCCCCAACCGAGGUGCCACUUCUCCUCCUCUUCCCCAACUGAGCUGCCCCUUCUCCUUUCCCCCAACAAAGCAAUAGUUAGCAGGCAGCAGCAACACAUAGCGGCAAGCGAUAGCACACAACAACAAGCAUCAACACGUAGCGGUGUGUCCCGCCAUUGUCCCAGUGUAUGCGACCGUUGUUGCACAUCCGGUCGUUUACCCCACAACUCCGUUAAAUUGUUUUGCCGAGUGUAG